AGGCGCGUAGCUCAGGGGGAGAGCGCUACCUUGACACGGUAGAGGUCCGCAGUUCAAAUCUGCGCGCGCCUA
RNAcentral lists this transfer RNA (72 nucleotides) under Desulfococcaceae bacterium HSG9. RNAcentral's name for it is "tRNA-Val". It matches the Rfam family "tRNA". From Rfam's summary of the family: Transfer RNA (tRNA) molecules are approximately 80 nucleotides in length. Their secondary structure includes four short double-helical elements and three loops (D, anti-codon, and T loops). Further hydrogen bonds mediate the characteristic L-shaped molecular structure. tRNAs have two regions of fundamental functional importance: the anti-codon, which is responsible for specific mRNA codon recognition, and the 3' end, to which the tRNAs corresponding amino acid is attached (by aminoacyl-tRNA synthetases). tRNAs cope with the degeneracy of the genetic code in two manners: having more than one tRNA (with a specific anti-codon) for a particular amino acid; and 'wobble' base-pairing, i.e. permitting non-standard base-pairing at the 3rd anti-codon position. The record is from RNAcentral. RNAcentral also lists the same sequence under 1 other name. Lineage: Bacteria; Pseudomonadati; Thermodesulfobacteriota; Desulfobacteria; Desulfobacterales; Desulfococcaceae.